GACGAACGCUGGCGGCGUGCUUAACACAUGCAAGUCGAACGGUGAAGCGCCUUCCUUUUUGGUGGGUGUGGAUGAGUGGCGAACGGGUGAGUAACACGUGAGUAACCUGCCCCCUUCUUCUGGAUAACCGCAUGACAGUGUGGCUAAUACGGGAUAUUUUGGGUCUGUCGCUUGAUGGGUCUGGGAAAGUUUUUGUUUCGGUGGGGGAUGGGUUCGCGGCUUAUCAGCUAGUUGGUGGGGUGAUGGCCUACCAAGGCGAUGAGGGGUAGCCGGCCUGAGAGGGUGGACGGCACCACGGGGGCGGAGAGACGGCCCAGACUCCGACGGGAGGCAGCAGGGGGGAAUAUGGCACAAUGGGCGCAAGCCUGAUGCAGCGACGCCGGGGGAGGGAUGGAGGCCGGCGCGUUGUGAACCUCUUUCGCGAGUGAAGCAGGCCUGCCUCGUUUGUGGGUGGGUUGACGGUAGCUGGAUAAGAAGCGACGGCUAACUACGUG
RNAcentral lists this ribosomal RNA (494 nucleotides) under uncultured bacterium. Its description in RNAcentral is "partial 16S ribosomal RNA". It matches the Rfam family "Bacterial small subunit ribosomal RNA", at positions 28 to 507 of the family's 1533-position model. The record is from RNAcentral.